Long non-coding RNA from Bactrocera neohumeralis, 679 nucleotides. RefSeq lists it as uncharacterized. The transcript has 3 exons. NCBI's taxonomy places the organism in Eukaryota, Metazoa, Arthropoda, Insecta, Diptera, Tephritidae. The record is from RefSeq and is a predicted model, not a curated record.
UUCAUUUAAAUGAACUGAAGUUGGAAAUAUAAUAUCAGUGCAAAAAAUAUAUAUGAAGAUAGAUGAAGGUAUGCGCGACUUCGCUGUAAUCAUUGCUAUUGUAUUCCAGUUACUUUGAACUGAACUAGUGCGAGUCAAAGUUGGAUUGUCAAUUACUUAACACAAAAUUACUCAAUUUUGUAUAUUGGCACCCCUUUCAUGUAAGCUAUUUGUUUAAGACGCGCUUUUUACCAUAGAAAAAAGUUUAACAAAAAGUAUGUUCGGAAAUUUUAUGUUUCCAAUGGAACCACAGCUAAAGAAUGUUGAAAUGUCUGCAGAAGUGUUUUGGGGAAAUCAUCAAUCGUGUCGUCCAUCCACCUCUGCUUAUGCCUAUAACAUCGAAAAUUUUAAAGAAAACGUGGUUGAAAAUUGUCGAGUUGGCUUUAGAGUGAUGGCAGGGAUCUCAAAAUUUCUUAUGGACCGACUCAGAAUAUCAUCGUAAAUGUUUUGGAUAAUUCUUUUCCAAGAAAUGAUGUCAUCCAUCUACGAAUCGGAUGAGUUUCAGCAGCCAUUUUCAGGACCGCCAUUUUGAAAAAAAAAAAAAAAAAAAAUUUUCAAGUAAUUUAAUAUAAUAUAUGUACUUUCAUAUGAAAAAAAAUUGAUUACUCAACAUGUUUUGCAAUAAAUAUAAAAUGUAUUG